RNAcentral lists this ribosomal RNA (2256 nucleotides) under Triticum aestivum (bread wheat). Its description in RNAcentral is "partial small subunit ribosomal RNA". Lineage: Eukaryota; Viridiplantae; Streptophyta; Magnoliopsida; Poales; Poaceae. The record is from RNAcentral.
AUGAGCAUGAAAAAAUCAGAAGGGGUUGGUGAAUUUGCGUUGAAGCUAACCUCCCUGGUUAAUGAGAUGCGGGCUCUCGGAUCAAAGAUGGAGGACAUCGCAGUUGUGGAGAAGUUACUUCGAGCUGUUCCCGAUAAGUUUUUACCGAUCGUUGUCACCAUAGAGCAGUGGGGCGAUGUGACGAAGAUGUCGGUGAUGGAGGAUUCUUCGUCGCCGUCAAGUUGUGUCACGGACGACGGAAAAUCGAAGAGGAUCAUGUCGACUUCGAAGGCGAGUGGUGGUGGUGUGACCAUCCAGUUCCCCAUGCUUGAAGGCGGCAAUUAUGGGGUGUGGGCUGCAAAGAUGAAGAUCUUCAUGCGUGCACGUGGAGUCUGGGCAGCGGUGGAAGGUGAUGGUGCGGUCGAGGAGAUAAAGGACCAAGAAGCUUUCGCCGCCGUAGCCCAAGCUGUGCCUGAUGCCGUUUUCAUGACCAUAUCGGAGAAAGAGACGGCAAAGGAAGCUUGUGAAGCUCUCAAGGAGAUGCAUGCUGGAGAUGAUGGCUCGUGUUCAAGCUCUAAGGAGGGACUAACCUCCCUGGUUAAUGAGAUGCGGGCUCUCGGAUCAAAGAUGGAGGACAUCGCAGUUGUGGAGAAAUUACUUCGAGCCGUUCCCGAUAAGUUUUUACCGAUCGUUGGCACCAUAGAGCAGUGGGGCAAUGUGACGAAGAUGUCGGUGAUGGAGGAUUCUUCGUCGCCGUCAAGUUGUGUCACGGACGACGGAAAAUCGAAGAGGAUCAUGUCGACUUCGAAGGCGAGUGGUGGUGGUGUGACCGUCCAGUUCCCCAUGCUUGAAGGCGGCAAUUAUGGGGUGUGGGCUGCAAAGAUGAAGAUCUUCAUGCGUGCACGUGGAGUCUGGGCAGCGGUGGAAGGUGAUGGUGUGGUCGAGGAGAUAAAGGACCAAGAAGCUUUCGCCACCAUAGCCCAAGCUGUGCCUGAUGCCGUUUUCAUGACCAUAUCGGAGAAAGAGACAGCAAAGGAAGCUUGGGAAGCUCUCAAGGAGAUGCAUGCUGGAGAUGAUCGUGUCAAGAAGGCUCGUGUUCAAGCUCUAAGGAGGGAGUUCGAGAGGAUGAGCAUGAAAGAAUCAGAAGGGGUUGGUGAAUUUGCGUUGAAGCUAACCUCCCUGGUUAAUGAGAUGCGGGCUCUCGGAUCGAAGAUGGAGGACAUCGCAGUUGUGGAGAAGUUACUUCGAGCCGUUCCUGAUAAGUUUUUACCGAUCGUUGGCACCAUAGAGCAGUGGGGCGAUGUGACGAAGAUGUCGGUGAUGGAGUCUUCCUGUCGUCCGGGUUUUGCACAGUUCUGCUGGCGUCCAGUUUGUGUAAAUAGAUUCAUGGACUUUGUUAUCUUUGAAAACAUGAAAGAUAUCAAGCACAUUGGCAUCGACAUGUACUGCAUUAUUUUUCCAUGUCAUUCUUCUGAAGAAUCUGAAGUUUCCAAAUCUCUGUUGGUAAUGUUGCAGGCUUGUGGUGGCGACGCUGACGGUCGUCGAGAGGUUCAUGGACUGGAUGGUGUCGUGGCUGCCGAUGGAUUCCUUCGUCCGCUGAUGGCGAGGCACAAGGACGACAUCGAUCGAGGCCUGCUAGAUCUGAGGGUCAGGGCGAGGGAUGUAACGACGUCGCAACUCAAGGCGGCGGCUGCCGUCGGUCAGGUGUGGCUCGCGAGGCUGCCCGGACCUCAGGAGGACAGGGUUAUUACUUUGGAGUUUCAGAACUCGUACUUGGUUUACGGGGUUAACAAUUGGGUCCAUGUUUCAGCGACAUUGUACAAGUGUGUUUGCUUAGCUGGAUUUCUGCCCUCAUUUUCUAUUUCACAUCCCCCAGUCAUUUUUUGCAGAUUCGAUUUGGUCAUAUUAUAUAUUCUUAAAAUUGACAUUCAUAAUCCGCUGGUCUAUGGCCCGGGUGUCGAGGCGCUUGUCAGGGACGAGGACCAGCCUGACCUCAAGAAGUCCAUCGUCGCACUACCCCGCAUCUUGAAGUUCAAGGUCGGCACCCCAGCGGGCACAACCUCCACCCAUGCAUCUACCAGGAUCAAUUCUCUGUCGCAAUCAUCCUACCUGCUGCCAGCUCCCCCUCGUUAUACUAAAACUAUCACACCAAAGGCGAGGAUCCUUGAUCUCCACCAUAGCGAUGAAGCCAGUGUCGGAGUCGCCGUCUUCGCCAAGGAUAGUCACAAUGACGGAAAGAUCCAUGGGAGCAAGAAGAGGGAGGACAACAUAUUUUAG